UCUAUUGUUGCUGGUCUUACAUUGUCUAA
Molecule: non-coding RNA, 29 nt
Filed under: Rattus norvegicus (Norway rat)
Lineage: Eukaryota; Metazoa; Chordata; Mammalia; Rodentia; Muridae
Source: RNAcentral